AAAGAUACUGUGCUCUCUGGAGCAAUCAUCUGUUGGCUCCAGACUGUUACAUCUCUCACUGUUACACCCAUUCACUUUUCUCCUGCAUUUUGAUGGCAUAUGAGAUUUGGAGAUUUUGGAGAAGGGGCAGAAGAAGAAAGAGAUGCUGGAUGCCAUGCCCUGCUUACAGGCUCCCAGAGCAGUGGUCACAGCCCCAAGCCUGCCAGAGCUCAAAAAUGUUUGGACAAAGCUCUCGGGCACAAGUUGUGACUCUUGGGGAUGGUUCUGAGCAGGGCCAGGAGUUGGACUCAAUGAUCCUUGUGGGUCCUU
Non-coding RNA from Lonchura striata (white-rumped munia), 309 nucleotides. NCBI's taxonomy places the organism in Eukaryota, Metazoa, Chordata, Aves, Passeriformes, Estrildidae. The record is from RefSeq and is a predicted model, not a curated record.